AGCGAACGCUGGCGGCAGGCUUAACACAUGCAAGUCGAGCGGGCAUCCUUGUGGUGUCAGCGGCAGACGGGUGAGUAACGCGUGGGAACGUGCCCUUCGGUUCGGAAUAACUCAGGUAAACUUGAGCUAAUACCGGAUACGUGCUACAGCAGAAAGGUUUAUCUGCCGAAGGAUCGGCCCGCGUCUGAUUAGCUAGUUGGUGAGGUUACGGCUCACCAAGGCGACGAUCAGUAGCUGGUCUGAGAGGAUGAUCAGCCACACUGGGACUGAGACACGGCCCAGACUCCUACGGGAGGCAGCAGUGGGGAAUAGUGGAACAUGGGGGCAACCCUGAUCCAGCCAUGCCGGGUGAGUGAUGACGGCCUUAGGGUUGUAAAGCUCUUUUCUCCGGGACGAUAAUGACGGUACCGGAGGAAUAAGCCCCGGCUAACUUCGUG
This 437-nucleotide ribosomal RNA is filed under the name uncultured bacterium. RNAcentral's name for it is "partial 16S ribosomal RNA". It matches the Rfam family "Bacterial small subunit ribosomal RNA", at positions 29 to 507 of the family's 1533-position model. The record is from RNAcentral.